This 280-nucleotide long non-coding RNA is filed under the name Salvia miltiorrhiza (redroot sage). RNAcentral's name for it is "long non-coding RNA (SMIL_LNC000922)". Lineage: Eukaryota; Viridiplantae; Streptophyta; Magnoliopsida; Lamiales; Lamiaceae. The record is from RNAcentral.
CCUCAUCAUCCGCCACCUGACCAAUCCCUCCUCCACGCGUUUCAGAGGAUCGGAUCUCCUCCACCGCCGCCGCCUCAUCCUCUACUCCGACGAAUUCUGCCGCUGACUUCUGCUCGGCGCCGCUGCGAUCAGAUCUGCUCCGGUGACUUCUGCUCGGCGCCGCUGCCGCGUAGCCGCUGGAGAAAGAGAGAGGGAGAUGAGAAGGAGAGAGGAGAUAGCGCAGCCGCUGGAGAGAGAGAGAGGGAGAUGAGAAAGAGAGAGGAAAGAGAGAGAAGGGUAG